GCCCUAUUCAGCUAGUGGAUAGGCUACCGGGUUCUCAACCCGGCAACGAGGGUUCGAUCCCCUCAUAGGGCA
Molecule: transfer RNA, 72 nt
Filed under: marine sediment metagenome
Description: tRNA-Glu
Rfam family: tRNA
About the family: Transfer RNA (tRNA) molecules are approximately 80 nucleotides in length. Their secondary structure includes four short double-helical elements and three loops (D, anti-codon, and T loops).
Source: RNAcentral